Molecule: ribosomal RNA, 524 nt
Filed under: uncultured bacterium
Lineage: Bacteria
Description: partial 16S ribosomal RNA
Rfam family: Bacterial small subunit ribosomal RNA
Source: RNAcentral
GACGAACGCUGGCGGCGUGCCUAAUACAUGCAAGUCGAACGAAGCUUUUUUAACUGGUGCUUGCACCGACUUAAACAACUGAGUGGCGAACGGGUGAGUAACACGUGGGUAACCUGCCCCAAGGCGGGGGAUAACAUUUGGAAACAGAUGCUAAUACCGCAUAACCACAGAAACCACAUGGUUUCUGUGUCAAAGAUGGUUUUGGUUAUAUCUUUGGGAUGGACCCGCGGCGUAUUAGCUAGUUGGUAAGGUAAUGGCUUACCAAGGCAAUGAUGCGUAGCCGAACUGGAAGGUGGAGCGGCCAGAUUGGGACUGAGACACGGACCAAACGUGUACGGGAGGCAGCAGUAGGGAAUCUUCCACAAUGGACGAAAGUCUGAUGGAGCAACGCCGCGUGAGUGAAGAAGGUUUUCGGAUCGUAAAACUCUGUUGUCAGAGAAGAACGUGUGCGAGAGUAACUGUUCGUGCAGUGACGGUAUCUGGCCAGAAAGCCACGGCUAACUACGUGCCAGCCGCCGCAGUAA